CACGUAGGAUGCAAGCGUUAUUCGGAUUUACUGGGCGUAAAGCGCGUGUAGGCGGUUAGGAGAGUUGGAUGUGAAAGCUCCCGGCUUAACUGGGAGAGGUCGUUCAAAACUUCCUGACUAGAGUUUGGUAGAGGAAAAUGGAAUUCCGGGUGUAGUGGUGAAAUGCGUAGAUAUCCGGAGGAACACCAGUGGCGAAAGCGAUUUUCUGGACCGAUACUGACGCUCAGACGCGAAAGCUAGGGUAGCAAACGGAGUAGUAUACCGGUACGU
Molecule: ribosomal RNA, 270 nt
Filed under: uncultured bacterium
Lineage: Bacteria
Description: partial 16S ribosomal RNA
Rfam family: Bacterial small subunit ribosomal RNA
Source: RNAcentral